UUAGUCCGCUACGAGCGCAACCCUCCGCUGUGUGUUACAAGUGUCACACGGUACUGCCGAUAUUAAGUCGGAGGAAGGUGGGGAUGACGUCAAGUCAGCAUGACCUUUAUAUCCAGGGCUACACACACGCUACAAUGGCCAGUACAAUGGGUUGCCAAGCCGCGAGGCGGAGCCAAUCCUAAAAAGCUGGCCUCAGUUCAGAUUGCAGUCUGCAACUCGACUGCAUGAAGUUGGAGUUGCUAGUAACCGCAGGUCAGCAAUACUGCGGUGAAUACGUUCCCGGGGAUU
RNAcentral lists this ribosomal RNA (288 nucleotides) under uncultured Anaerolineaceae bacterium. RNAcentral describes it as "partial 16S ribosomal RNA". It matches the Rfam family "Bacterial small subunit ribosomal RNA", at positions 1081 to 1378 of the family's 1533-position model. The record is from RNAcentral. Lineage: Bacteria; Bacillati; Chloroflexota; Anaerolineae; Anaerolineales; Anaerolineaceae.